This 3484-nucleotide long non-coding RNA is filed under the name Homo sapiens (human). Its description in RNAcentral is "HSALNT0319419". Lineage: Eukaryota; Metazoa; Chordata; Mammalia; Primates; Hominidae. The record is from RNAcentral.
GGAAGCUGAAGUCCAGAGGCUCUAUUCAGUCAAGGGGUGAUGAACUCUCUUUGGGUCUGGAGACAGGCUGGAACUGGGAUGAGAUAUGGAGACCCUGCCAUUUACGACAACGUGGAUGUAUCUGCAGGACAUUAAGACAAGUGCAAUAAGCAAGACACGGAAAGAAAAUAUAGCAUGGUCUCUCUUAUAUGUGGAAUUUUAAAAAUUAACUCUGAAUACUUUGGAUUAAACUGAUGCAGCAGUCAUCCAAGAGAUGUCCACAUAUGUACUCCUGUUAAUGUUAGUUCCUUUCAUCCAAGCCAUCAGAGGUUCUCCCUGGAUCUCAUUUUUGGGGUGAUGUCCUAUACUUUUUUUUAAAUCUCCAUUAACUCCUCUCCUUAGUGGUUUUAAUGGCAUAUUCAUACAAUAUUAGAAUGAAAUUUGUGAGUCAAUAUUAAUUUCCAGGUUCAUAGUCUCACAGCUUGAACACAAACUAUUCAGACCUUUGAAAUUACCUUUAUUUCUUUACUUCCAGAGUAGCUGACUUUUUCAUUCUCUGCUGGAGCGUUUGGGCUGAUUCAUCACCCCCUCCCCCACCACCAUUCACUGAAUGUAGCCACUGGUCGUGGCUGCCUUUUCUGCUAUUUUAUAGAACCAAGCCUGAAUCUAUAAAGCGCUUCCCUUGGUACCUCCCAGAAACUUUUUAUUGCCUGUCUCUUUCUGUCAACUCAGUUGCAGAAAAAUACAUUUUAUGGCUCCAGUAAUUUAAGAAAGCUCUGAAAAAUCAAAUCUGUCCAUGGCAGUGCUAGCAUACUGUCUAUUAGAUUAAAUGAAGCUGUAAGCAUCUUUGAAGUACAAAUGAUACUUGGAAAGUAAAUGAAACUGGGAAUACUUGCAAGUAAAAUAUGGGAAGUCAAAGAGAUUAAAGGAUGAGAACCAGAAAUUGCUUAUGGCCAGUGUCCUGAACAUUGUUCCAGGCUCUGAGUUACACCUGCGGUCAAAAUGGACAAAAUCUUGAUCCAGUUGAGGUGAAAUUGAAGAAGGGAGAAAUGCACAGCAAAGAAAUGGAUACAUAAAUAUUCAGUGUCUCAGGAGGUAAUAGGUCUUCUGGGAGAAAUACAAAGCAGGAUAUAACGGAAAUGUGAUAGGGCUGCUAUUAAUACUAUUGCUAAAUUAAUUAGAGAAGACUUCUCUGAUAAGGUGAUAUUUGAAAAGAUGCAUUAAGGUUGAGAUGGAGGAAGCCAUAUAACUAUCUGGGAGAAUGGUGUUCUAGGUGUCCUGUGAUGUCAGCACGCUUUGGAAAGUUUGGGGAACAGCCAAGGAUGACAAUGUUACUGUAGCAGAGAGCAGCAGGAGAAUGAUAAAAAAUGAGGUCUAUAAGGGAGUGAAAUUUUAGGCCACAGAAAGGACUUUGAAUCUUACUUUUUUAGUUGAAAAUUCGUUUGAGCAUUUGAGCAAAGUAGUGAUAUCAACUGAUUUAUGUUUUUAAGGAAACAUUAUGAGGGCUGGCUGUGGAAUAUUUAGUAAAAUGACAAGAAUGAGAAGAGGGAAUUUCUCUUUAAAGUAGCUGUGGAUAAUGCAGGCAAAAUGAUUGAUGUCUAUUUCAAUUACACAGAUAGUUUGAAUGAUUGACUCCAGCAUACAAAGUAAAACAAUCUACUGUAUUUAGUAUUUAUAGUGUAAACAAAAUACUCUCCGAUUUUUUAGUAAUUCAUAUUUUAGGAGGAUAUUAAUAAUAACCAUAAAUAUUUAUAUUCAUGGAGAGUGUUUCUUAUAUUCUUAUGAAGCUCAAAAUUUACUAUCAUCAGUUAGUUCCUUUUACUAAUGCAUUAUGAAGAGUUCUGUGUGCACUCCCAGUAUGACCUAUUCAUUUCAUACUCAUUAAGAAAUUAAUGUUUUUCAAGCAAAUGUUACAAAUGAAUGUUUAAUUUAGUGGCAAUUAAGAAUGUAUAUUUACAGAACAUUUCUUAUUAAUUAACACAUGGCUAAACAUAGAAAAGUUUGACCUUCCACUGUAACUACUCACCUGACUCUGCAUUAUUUUCAAAACCACCGGAACUUGAUCCGACCUGGUCAUGUCUCCCUCUGCAAACACAUUCCUUCCUAAUGAGGUCCUACUCCCCAGGUGGUAUGCAGCAAAUUCAGUUCUUUGCAUUUUUCUGUACAGUCCAACACUUAAACAUCCAGCUGAUUCUGAGGAAGGCUUAAUAUCCAGAAGCAAUUCUGAUAAGCAGCUGUUAUAAAAUGCCUUCCCAUUCCUAUUUGAAAUGAGCAAAAUGAGGGACUUACCUCAAAAUCAGGUCUUUAGUACAAACAGUACAUGUUUAGAUGUACACAUGAGUGCUAGCCCUCAGAAUCACAAAUUAGAGGAAAAACUCCAUAUUUAUUUUACUAGCUUUUUCCCGCUUUUUUUCCUCCUUGGGCUUUUCUUCUCAUUAAAAGGCAAGAUUGACAUCAAAUAGUAGCAAACUAUGUUGUAAAAUUUUUACCAAACCAGUCAACUAGUUUCUGAAUGCGUGUGUUCAUCAAAGACUGGGGGAAUAAAACAGGUCACAGCCUGCUAUUGGAAGCUUAGCGAAAUCAUCUGUGUUCUUCUUCCUCAUCAUAAUUCCCCAAAGAAAAGAUUAUAAACAUAUUCUGCUCAUGUUAUACUUAAUCAAACAUUAAUUAAAUACAAUACCUAAGGCUCUGAGUCCCAACUGUAGACCAUAAUGGUUUUACAGUUCACUUCAACUCUUUAGGAUAAAUAGCCUGCCAUUAAAGGCACUAGCUGUGCUUACAAUUUUUUUUUAAAUUGUAGUCAUUUUGCUAAUUAUAGAGUCACGGAGAAAUAAGAGAUAGUUUUGUCUACUACUUUGUCAUCACUAAACAAUGUUUUCUGGGAUUUUGAAAUUGGUAUUUUGUUUGUUAUGCAUUAGCCAUGGAUAAGAGAAUUAAUAGGACCAUAGUUAUUUUCUCAUGAAUGUUAUGCAUUAAUGUUUUGAAAAGGUUAUUUGAGGAUGGGUACUUAAGAUUGUUAGAACUAGUAAGCAAUUAAUCAUUGCAGAUUUAUGCCAUAAUGUACUUAAGUAACAACAAGCUUUUUUUUUCUUAAAUGUUAAUUAAGUAUCCUCUCAAUUUAUACAACUCUACGAUGUUUCUAUACCACUCAUAUGGCCCAACUUGUAUUUAGGCUUACAACUAUUUUUUAUGAGAAUGAGUAAUGAUUUACAUCUUUUAUUUGUCCCACUUAUUCAGGACAUAUGCAUUUUUCAAAUAAAUGAAUGAAUCACAAAAAGGGGACCCGUUUUGGAAUGUUAUGUGAGCAUUUUAUGAUAUGUGUUUCUGAGUUCUCACAGCCCUAAGCGAUAGAGUUAUGAUCUAAGUUUCACAGGUGAAGUUCUUAAGACAUACAGAAGUUAAGCAGUUUGACCCAACUAAGUAAGUGGUAAAGCCAGGAUCUAAAUCAGGAUCCAUUCUUGCACCAUUAACCUUUAGAGAAUAUUCUUUCUCAUUUAAUUUUGCA